This 497-nucleotide ribosomal RNA is filed under the name uncultured bacterium. RNAcentral describes it as "partial 16S ribosomal RNA". It matches the Rfam family "Bacterial small subunit ribosomal RNA", at positions 36 to 507 of the family's 1533-position model. The record is from RNAcentral.
UCUUCCCUCUUUCUUCGUGCCUAAUACAUGCAAGUCGAGCGAACAGACGAGGAGCUUGCUCCUCUGACGUUAGCGGCGGACGGGUGAGUAACACGUGGAUAACCUACCUAUAAGACUGGGAUAACUUCGGGAAACCGGAGCUAAUACCGGAUAAUAUAUUGAACCGCAUGGUUCAAUAGUGAAAGACGGUUUUGCUGUCACUUAUAGAUGGAUCCGCGCCGCAUUAGCUAGUUGGUAAGGUAACGGCUUACCAAGGCAACGAUGCGUAGCCGACCUGAGAGGGUGAUCGGCCACACUGGAACUGAGACACGGUCCAGACUCCUACGGGAGGCAGCAGUAGGGAAUCUUCCGCAAUGGGCGAAAGCCUGACGUAGCAACGCCGCGUGAGUGAUGAAGGUCUUCGGAUCGUAAAACUCUGUUAUUAGGGAAGAACAAAUGUGUAAGUAACUAUGCACGUCUUGACGGUACCUAAUCAGAAAGCCACGGCUAACUACGUG